RNAcentral lists this ribosomal RNA (561 nucleotides) under Nonomuraea sp. 428C03. RNAcentral's name for it is "bacterial SSU rRNA". It matches the Rfam family "Bacterial small subunit ribosomal RNA", at positions 93 to 671 of the family's 1533-position model. Lineage: Bacteria; Bacillati; Actinomycetota; Actinomycetes; Streptosporangiales; Streptosporangiaceae. The record is from RNAcentral.
GAGCGGCGAACGGGUGAGUAACACGUGAGCAACCUGCCCCUGACUCUGGGAUAAGCCUGGGAAACCGGGUCUAAUACCGGAUAUGACCGUCUCCGGCAUCGGGUGACGGUGGAAAGAUUUUUUGGUCGGGGAUGGGCUCGCGGCCUAUCAGCUUGUUGGUGGGGUAGUGGCCUACCAAGGCGACGACGGGUAGCCGGCCUGAGAGGGCGACCGGCCACACUGGGACUGAGACACGGCCCAGACUCCUACGGGAGGCAGCAGUGGGGAAUAUUGCGCAAUGGGCGGAAGCCUGACGCAGCGACGCCGCGUGGGGGAUGACGGCCUUCGGGUUGUAAACCUCUUUCAGCAGGGACGAAGGUGACGUGUACCUGCAGAAGAAGCGCCGGCUAACUACGUGCCAGCAGCCGCGGUAAUACGUAGGGCGCAAGCGUUGUCCGGAAUUAUUGGGCGUAAAGAGCUCGUAGGUGGCUGGUCGCGUCUGCCGUGAAAGCCCGCAGCUUAACUGCGGGUCUGCGGUGGAUACGGGCCGGCUAGAGGUAGGUAGGGGCAAGUGGAAUUCCU